AUUGAACGCUUGCGGCAGGCCUAACACAUGCAAGUCGAACGAGUGGCGGACGGGUGAGUAAUGUCUGGGAAACUGCCCGAUGGAGGGGGAUAACUACUGGAAACGGUAGCUAAUACCGCAUACCAUCGGAUGUGCCCAAAUGGGAUUAGCUAGUAGGUGGGGUAAGGGCUCACCUAGGCGACGAUCCCUAGUUGGUCUGCGAGGAUGACCACCCACACUGGAACUGAGACACGGACCAGAUUCCUACGGGAGUCAGCAGUGGGGAAUAUUGCAAAAUGGGCGAAAGAUUGAUGCAGCCAUGCCGCGUGUAUGAAGAAGGCCGUCGGGUUGUAAAGUACUUUCAGCGAGGAGGCGUUACUCGCAGAAGAAGCAUCGGCUUGCUCCGUGCCAGCAGCCGCGGUAAUUC
This 406-nucleotide ribosomal RNA is filed under the name uncultured bacterium. RNAcentral's name for it is "partial 16S ribosomal RNA". It matches the Rfam family "Bacterial small subunit ribosomal RNA", at positions 30 to 526 of the family's 1533-position model. The record is from RNAcentral.